UACGAAGGGGGCUAGCGUUGCUCGGAAUCACUGGGCGUAAAGCGCACGUAGGCGGACUCUUAAGUCGGUGGUGAAAUCCUGGAGCUCAACUCCAGAACUGCCUUCGAUACUGGGAGUCUCGAGUCCGGGAGAGGUGAGUGGAACUGCGAGUGGUAAGAGGUGAAAUUCGUAGAUAAUCGCAAGAACACCAGUGGCGAAGGCGGCUCCACUGGCC
Molecule: ribosomal RNA, 214 nt
Filed under: uncultured bacterium
Lineage: Bacteria
Description: partial 16S ribosomal RNA
Rfam family: Bacterial small subunit ribosomal RNA
Source: RNAcentral